GAUGAACGCUGGCGGCGUGCCUAACACAUGCAAGUCGAACGGAAAGACAAUGAUAUUGUGCCUUUAACGUUAGCGGGUGGCGGGCGAGUCACGCGUGUAUCAUACACUUCUAUUUCGGGAGGAAUAACGUAAAUCGGCGUAAGCUACGACCGCAUAUAUCCAACGGUUGUGUGCAUUGGAUAUUUUCGCCUUUCGGGAUUGUAUUAGCGGAUGCCGGAUUAGCUAGUUGGGUGGGUAAUGGCCUACCAAGGCAACGAUCCGUAGCUGGUCUGAGAGGAUGAUCGGCCACACUGGAACUGAGACACGGUCCAGACUCCUACGGGAGGCAGCAGUCGGGAAUCUUGGACAAUGGGCGCAAGCCUGACGCAGCAAUGCCGCGUGAGUGAAGAAGGCCUUCGGGUUGUAAAGCCCUUUUGUUGGGGAAGAACAGCUGUAGGUUGAUACCCGGCUGUUUUGACGGUACCUAAUGAAUAAGCACCGGCUAACUACGUG
RNAcentral lists this ribosomal RNA (492 nucleotides) under uncultured bacterium. Its description in RNAcentral is "partial 16S ribosomal RNA". It matches the Rfam family "Bacterial small subunit ribosomal RNA", at positions 28 to 507 of the family's 1533-position model. The record is from RNAcentral.